AUCUCCGACCGUUGCCCCGCGGACAGGUCAUACUACUAGUGCGGGUUUGCUAGGAUGCGCUAGCACUAGAAACAUAGUCGUAGCGCGGGUCGCCACAUGCGCUACAACUAACCCAGCCCAGCGAGACAAGCAACCCAGCCCAGCGAACAACCUCUCCAUAGUUCUCUCAUUUUCCUCCUCUUCCUCCCGCGAACCCUCGCCGCCGCCACCAACGACGGGCGAAUCCGGCUACUUCCCGCGGCCCUCGCCGGAGCAAAGCACACUCACGAGGUCUCCUGGUGACGGCGCUUCCUUCCCUCCGGCCAAAUCCUCUCCUCCCGGCCGCAAGCGCUCGCGCGCGACCCCUCCUGUGGCUAGGGUUUCGGCUGCCUCCAACUCCGGCGCGCCACCCUCCUCCAUGGGCGAGGACGACCACCACGGCACGCACAUGGUCGAGCUUGCCGUCGUCUGCUCCGGUGCGGUACUGGGCCAACGGCCUCCACCUCCACGGCUCCUAGCUUGGGUAAGCAUCCCCAUCACCAUGGUCGUUUCACUUUCUUCCUCCUUUUUGCAUCCUGUUCUUGCUGCUCCAUUGAUUUGUUCAUGGAGGCCAUAACUUUAUCCUUUUGCUGCAUCUAAAAGCUAGUACUCUGCCAGUCCUGAUAAUACACAUGGACUCGGAUCUCUGUAUGAUUGGUGUUUUAUUAGAUGUUCAGAUGCAUGGUCUUGGCAGGACUGUUGGACACUAUCAUCUUGUACUGUUGUCACACAUGGCAUUGACCAAACAGUGAGCACAAGCCCAUGCUUCGUGAACUCUUGGGGUAAGCACAGGUAGCAAUCGUCGAAGCAGUUUGAUUGGUGCUUAUAUGUGAUAAACAUUGCAGUACUUCAUAGUAGUACCGUGUGCUAGGUACCUGAUUCAUUCAUUUAUAACUGAAAACAAUCUUGAGGGUCUUAGAAAAACAAAAUGUUAACUGAAGAAGAAGAAAAUGAAUACUGAAGGAAUUAACCAGCAAAAGAUGAGGAUGAUUACUGUGGGGGUUUACAGUACUGCACAAUAAUUUUCUGUCAAAAAACUAAAGUUAGUGACAAAAGAAACUUAAGUAAUUGAAAACCAAAGCAAUUUGGGAGCCUCAACUAGUUAUGUAGCAGUAGUACUACCUAGGACCAUCGGCCAGAUUUGUCUAAAUUUAUACACAUCAGUCAGAAAAGGGACAGGUUGAAUAUGCAACCACAGCAGAGAGCAUGACACAAUCUAUAAUGUCCUCUGCUCUUCAGAGGGAUCGGAUCUACAAAAUUAGUUUUCCUUUGUAAAACGAAGAUGUAGGCGUCAAUAACAAAAUGUGCAGAGAUUUCAUGAUUAUCCUAGCAGUACUUCUUCCUCACUAAUAAUCAACUAAGGCCAGGCAUGUUAUUUCGCAGACUAGAUUAGUUCAGUAGAAUUCAUACUGCAUAGUACAUCACCUAUUAUUAAUGGUCCCAAGUACAUUAAUGGUUACAUAAAGAUCAGUUCUAAUAGUAGAGAGGAAGAUUAAUUACACAUCUUUCGUCAACUACUAAGGCUUCCUGUGUUAUUUUGUAGACUAGAUUAGUUCAGUAGAAUUCCAAUUAGAUCAGGUACAACGUCUGUUGAUGGUAUCAAGUACAUAUGGGGAUGAGUAGUAGUAGUUGGAACCAGUCAAGGGGAAAUUGCUAUUAGGACAAGCAGAGUACAAUAGGUGGUGAUCAGGAUGCCCGAAAGCGUUUUGACAAGGCUAGCCUUCUGUACGACCAGCUAAUGUUGUUCUCAGGUCAUUUCAAAGUUACAAUAUUAAACAUGUCUUCAAGGUGAUUCUGAAGCUUCUGUCAUGGGUUCAAUCUUGUGGUAGCAAUAACAAAGUUCAAUAUGUUGGCUUAUUGUGAACAAAAUGAUAGAGUUGUAUAUUCCCCAAUUUUUGUUUUGGUGUUUGUUUACGCUGUUCCUGUCAACCUGCCAAUAUGAUAGCCAACUUUCACUAUAAUCAGAAGGAGUCUGUUUGCCAUAAUGUGUAGAUGCUAUUUCUAUGUUAUUUUUCUGUCUACUAACUCCUUGUUGCUAAAAAAGUGACCCAUGGUAAAAAUUAAUCUAGUAUACGCAGAAUCUAAUUUUUGCUGCAUUUUUCUACAGCGUGGCGAUAUGAUAGCUUUAUUCCAUUUCUGCUGUCAUCAGCAUGCUAUCAUUUGUAGUUGUUAUUGCAUUUUUGACAAAAGUCGAGUUUAUUUUUAAAAAGGGUCUCGCUGACUGAUUUGUGUUCUGGCCCAGGCUCAUGAAAGUGUAUUUAUCCUUGAAGAAACGAACAAUGACAGACAAAGAAACUGCAGUUGAGGAUAUCAUCAUUUGAGCAAGCUCGUUUCAACUUGGUAGGUGUACUGCUUCCCUGUAUCUCUAUUCACUAUAUCUUUAUUUGAGCAAGCCAGAUUUGAACGCUAACGCGUGAUACGUCCCUAACGUAUCUAUAAAUUUUGAUUGUUCCAUGUUAUUAUAUUAUUUGUUUUGGAUGUUUAAUGGGCUUUACUAAGCAUUUUUAUAUUAUUUUUGGGACUAACCUAUUAACCGAAGGCCCAGUGCAAAUUGUUGUUUUUUUGCCUAUUUCAGUGUUUCGCAGAAAAGGAAUAUCAA
Long non-coding RNA from Aegilops tauschii subsp. strangulata, 2617 nucleotides. RefSeq lists it as uncharacterized. NCBI's taxonomy places the organism in Eukaryota, Viridiplantae, Streptophyta, Magnoliopsida, Poales, Poaceae. The record is from RefSeq and is a predicted model, not a curated record.